This 232-nucleotide ribosomal RNA is filed under the name uncultured bacterium. Its description in RNAcentral is "partial 16S ribosomal RNA". It matches the Rfam family "Bacterial small subunit ribosomal RNA", at positions 99 to 334 of the family's 1533-position model. The record is from RNAcentral.
CGGACGGGUGAGUAAUGUCUGGGAAACUGCCUGAUGGAGGGGGAUAACUACUGGAAACGGUAGCCAAUACCGCAUAACGUCGCAAGACCAAAGAGGGGGACCUUCGGGCCUCUUGCCAUCGGAUGUGCCCAGAUGGGAUUAGCUAGUAGGUGGGGUAACGGCUCACCUAGGCGACGAUCCCUAGCUGGUCUGAGAGGAUGACCAGCCACACUGGAACUGAGACACGGUCCAG